Molecule: ribosomal RNA, 262 nt
Filed under: uncultured bacterium
Lineage: Bacteria
Description: partial 16S ribosomal RNA
Rfam family: Bacterial small subunit ribosomal RNA
Source: RNAcentral
AGCAGCCGCGGUAAGACGGAGGGCGCGAGCGUUGUUCGGAAUUACUGGGCGUAAAGCGCGCGCAGGCGGAUAUUUAAGUCAGGGGUGAAAUCCCGGGGCUCAACCCCGGAACUGCCUUUGAUACUGGGUAUCUUGAGUUCGAGAGAGGUGAGUGGAAUUCCGAGUGUAGAGGUGAAAUUCGUAGAUAUUCGGAGGAACACCAGUGGCGAAGGCGGCUCACUGGCUCGAUACUGACGCUGAGGUGCGAAAGCGUGGGGAGCAA